This is a non-coding RNA of Streptomyces sp. FXJ1.172, 132 nucleotides long. The record is from Rfam. NCBI's taxonomy places the organism in Bacteria, Bacillati, Actinomycetota, Actinomycetes, Kitasatosporales, Streptomycetaceae.
CUGCCGGUAAAGUGGCGGGGUCGUCAUCACACCCGUACAGGGGGAAGCCGGUGCAAUUCCGGCGCUGACCCCGCAACCGUGAGCCGUUCGUCACCGGACGGCGAGCCGGACUGCCCCGGACGGGACGUUGAC